UACGUAGGGGGCAAGCGUUGUCCGGAAUCAUUGGGCGUAAAGAGCGUGUAGGCGGCUUGGUAAGUCCGCUGUAAAAGUCCAAGGCUCAACCCUGGAAAGCCGGUGGAAACUACCAAGCUUGAGUCCGGAAGAGGCGAGUGGAAUUCCUGGUGUAGCGGUGAAAUGCGCAGAUAUCAGGAGGAACACCAAUGGCGAAGGCAGCUCGCUGGGACGGUACUGACGCUGAGACGCGAAAGCGUGGGGAUCAAACAGG
RNAcentral lists this ribosomal RNA (253 nucleotides) under uncultured bacterium. RNAcentral describes it as "partial 16S ribosomal RNA". It matches the Rfam family "Bacterial small subunit ribosomal RNA", at positions 524 to 776 of the family's 1533-position model. The record is from RNAcentral.